This 148-nucleotide non-coding RNA is filed under the name Nomascus leucogenys (northern white-cheeked gibbon). The record is from Rfam by way of RNAcentral. Lineage: Eukaryota; Metazoa; Chordata; Mammalia; Primates; Hylobatidae.
GCCGGACAUGGUGGUAUAUGCCUGUAAUCCCAGCUACUCGGGAGGCUGAGGCAGGGGAAUUGCUUGAACCCAGGAGGCCGAGGUUGCAGUGAGCCAAGAUCGCGCCACUGUAUUCCAGCCUGGGUGACAGAGUAAGACUCUGCCUCAA